AUACGUAGGGUGCGAGCGUUUUCCGGAAUUACUGGGCGUAAAGAGCUCGUAGGUGGUUUGUCGCGUCGUCUGUGAAAUUCCGGGGCUUAACUCCGGGCGUGCAGGCGAUACGGGCAUAACUUGAGUACUGUAGGGGAGACUGGAAUUCCUGGUGUAGCGGUGAAAUGCGCAGAUAUCAGGAGGAACACCGGUGGCGAAGGCGGGUCUCUGGGCAGUAACUGACGCUGAGGAGCGAAAGCAUGGGUAGCGAACAGGAUUAGAUACCCUGGUAGUCCAUGCCGUAAACGGUGGGCGCUAGGUGUAGGGGUCUUCCACGACUUCUGUGCCGUAGCUAACGCAUUAAGCGCCCCGCCUGGGGAGUACGGCCGCAAGGCUAAAACUCAAAUGAAUUGACGGGG
This 398-nucleotide ribosomal RNA is filed under the name uncultured bacterium. RNAcentral's name for it is "partial 16S ribosomal RNA". It matches the Rfam family "Bacterial small subunit ribosomal RNA", at positions 523 to 918 of the family's 1533-position model. The record is from RNAcentral.